AUUGAACGCUGGCGGCAGGCCUAACACAUGCAAGUCGAGCGAGCGGCGGACGGGUGAGUAAUGUAUGGGGACUGCCCGAUAGAGGGGGAAAACUACUGGAAACGGUGGCUAAUACCGCCUACUAUCGGAUAACCCAUAUGGGAUAAGCUAGUAGGUGGGGUAAAGGCUCACCUAGGCGACGAUCGCUAGCGGUUCUGAGAGGAUGAUCGGCCACACUGGGACGGAGACACGGCCCGGCCUCCUCCGGAGGCAGCAUUGGGGAAUAUUCGACAAUGGGCGCAAGCCUGAUGAAGCCAUGCCGCGGGUAGGAAGCAGGCCUUGGGUUUGUAAAGUACUUUCAGCGGGGAGGCGUUACCCGCAUAGGAAGCCCCGGCUAACUCCGUGCCAGCAGCCGCGGUAAUAC
Molecule: ribosomal RNA, 403 nt
Filed under: uncultured bacterium
Lineage: Bacteria
Description: partial 16S ribosomal RNA
Rfam family: Bacterial small subunit ribosomal RNA
Source: RNAcentral